Cavia porcellus (domestic guinea pig) is the source of this 2939-nucleotide long non-coding RNA. RefSeq lists it as uncharacterized. Lineage: Eukaryota; Metazoa; Chordata; Mammalia; Rodentia; Caviidae. The record is from RefSeq and is a predicted model, not a curated record. The transcript is spliced from 3 exons.
CACCCGUGGCUGGUGGGAGUGUGGAAUGGCGCAGCCGCUUUGGGUAGCUUCUGGCCCAGGAAAAUGACCGUGACUCUUGCUGUUGUUUGCUUGGUGUCUCUAGCUGUUCUUCCCAUAACGAAGAGCUCGAAGAGCUCGGGGCCGAGCAUCCAUAACCUGAACCUUAAUGGGGCUCUCGCUGGGAGCUCUUAGAUGAGGUUCCUGGGAGUCCAAGUGCUGAGUCAGCAAGAGCAUGCCUUGCAAAGCCCCUGGGACCAAGAGGAGCAGACAGCUAAGGGCUGCCCCUGAGGAAGCCAGAUCAGGCAAAAUGGGAACAGGGAGGCAUCACAGCUACCCGGAACAGAUGCUAGCAAUGUGGGUGCCUGGACGAACAGGCAGGCUGCGGGAGGCACAGAGAGCCCCGGCUGCAGCACCACAGCAGCUGGCAAUUCUCCCACAGGCCUCAGCAGCCACGCACAGAAGGGGUGGCCCUGCCCUGGUGGGAGGCAGAGGCUUGGAGGCCCAAGUACGGCUUCAGGUCACAGCCUACACGCCAUGGUGCAGAAGAAGCCUGCUCUCCCUGGGCAGCUGUAGCUACAGAACCUACAAACAUCUGGCCAGUUCGGAACGCUCAGCCUCUGCGCCAAGCACGUGAGCUCUCGUAGCUGUGGCCACCGGCCAGCAAGCACUGCCCACUGGCUCUCUGCCUGCAUGGGACCAGUGCUGACCCUGCCUGCUCUCUGCUCUGUUCUUUUAAAGGUGCUUUUAAAGGUCUCAUUCUACCGGAGGGAAAAAACUCAGAAAGAACACACUUCACUGCUCUGGAUUCGCAGCACCCCCAUCCCCUAAUGCUAGGGUUUUUCCUCACUUCCAGCAUUCUUUCUGGAGCAUGAAACCAUGUUUGCUGAGGCUGCUCAAACCUCUGACUCCUCCUCCCUUCCUGCUGUGUUCCACAAACAAAAGCUGGACCCCAAGCCAUGGAAGCCAGGGUUGCAGAGUGACGUCCCCUUUGGCCAGGGCGGCUAGGCUACCCUGAGCCUCAGUCUGCACCUCCCUCUGUUCUCAGUCAGGCUGGAGAGGCGCCUGGCAUUGCCCUAGCUUCUAAUCUGUCCUUUUACUGUGCAUGAGAGCAAUCUCUCUACAAAUGUUGGCUCAGAAGAGUCCAAACUCAGCACUGGCCAAACAACACUUGUCCAAAAGCUGAAACUGAACCUCUAGGCCCAAACUGAACACAACCUCUGCAUUUAGCCAAAUCUGAAAUUAGCUUGUAAAACACCACGUCGGGCGGGGGUGUAGGGAGUGCUUGCCUAAUGUGCUGAGGCCCUGAAUUCAAGCCCUAGAGGCACUACAUUAAAACUAAGCAAAAUACUUUGUACCCCUGCAUACUACAGGAUUCUAAAAAUGAUGUUAGCGUCUCUGAAUUUGCCUGUCAUUUUAUUUUGUGCCAUUGGACUUCCAAAGGCACCCAAAGCAUUCUCAGACUCGAUUGCCCAAAAGGCCCAGGCCUCCCUGAAGCAGAUGGGCUGGCACGCUGGGGUGGCUGUACCCACUGCAGGGAGACCAGCAAGGUGACACUCUCAGCCUGCCCGUUUCCAUCCUGGCACCUGUUGCUUGGCAACCCAGUGGAGCAUCCAGCUGGGGCUGUUUUGGAAUGCAGUAGCCGUAGAAUUCCUCAGCACUGUCUAGGAGCCCUGCUGACCCCCCUGCACUCCCAAUCAUGGGUUCUGUUCUACAUUUCCAGGGCAAAUCCAGGCACCUUGGAGAUGCAGUACUGGCAAAAGCACGUGGGCUUCUGUUUUUUCUGUUUUAUGCAGCCCAUAAAACCAUCUUGCUCAGUGCAUAAUACCUGAGCGAAAGCCCUGAGGGAUUUUAACUUGCUCCGGCAAGGGGCCGGACAAUCGAUGCCUGUUUCGUUCAGCAGGCGCACAGCCAGGCCAAGCUAAACCCCAGGAGGAUGCACCUCCAUCCGCAGCCCACGCCAAUGCCUCUUCGUUCAGGCACAAAAGGACAGAAGGCCUGAGAGCUGCACCGGGCACUUUUGUCACCACGCCUGACCUUGGCAAACACACGGCAGGUUAAAAGGCAAAAUAUAGAUCAUGCUGCUGCUGCUGGAGUCAGGGGAAAGGCCAGCUGGGAAACAGCUGAUCCAGGCAUGCAGGAGGCAGCUAGGAUGCCGGCUGCCCGGAGCCUGGCUCUGGGUAUCACCGUGGAAAGGACAUACAUGCCACGUGACAUCUUCCGUCAAGAGGAGAUGGGCAACUACAAAACACUGCUGAGGGGGCAUAGCGCUCAGACCUUCUGGUGAUGUGGCUCUGCAAUCAUUUGGGGUUCAGCUGUGUCAUCAGACCACUUGCAUCGUAUGACCUGUGACCCCGAGGUAGUGCAAAUUCUCCCAUGCUUUCCUGAUGUAAUAAUCAGAACCCUGGAGUGAAGUCCUGAGUCUCCUCAGGAAUCCUUAACGUCUGAUGAGUCUCAGCCCCUCCCAAGGCAUCAGAUGCUCCAGGACCCCCUUAGUAACCCACCGCACCAUGGAGCCAGGGCACAGGACAGCUGGGUUGCCUCAAUUUGACUAAACAGAAAAAGAAGAGUAAACUUUGCCUUCCUGUUGUGUGUUGUGCUUUUCCUGUUUGCUAUUCCUAUUAUUCCACAACAGGAAUAAAAGCACGUUCAUCCCUGUCCAGGGGUAAGCAGUCCCCAAGUGAGAGCCUGGGGAUUAUUUCGCUAAGAGAAGUCAUCAGAUUUUUUUAAAAGGCAGCUAGAAAGGAUGUAGAAGAAAAAUCAGAGAAUACAAAGAGUCAUUGUUUCUGCCUUAGCACAGUCUCAGAAAAAAGAUACUCCUGACUCUAAACCAAAUCCAACACACCAAAACCACACACCAAAUCCCAGCACAGAGCUUGACUCCUCUGCUUUGCAAAUGUGUCCAAAAUUAAAGUGAUUUUUCCUGUGUGGCUGCACCUUGA